UGGGGAAUUUUGGACAAUGGGCGCCAGCCUGAUCCAGCCAUGCCGCGUGCAGGAUGAAGGCCUUCGGGUUGUAAACUGCUUUUGUACGGAACGAAAAGGUGCCUUCUAAUAAAGGGCGCUCAUGACGGUACCGUAAGAAUAAGCACCGGCUAACUACGUGCCAGCAGCCGCGGUAAUACGUAGGGUGCGAGCGUUAAUCGGAAUUACUGGGCGUAAAGCGUGCGCAGGCGGUUUUGUAAGACAGAGGUGAAAUCCCCGGGCUCAACCUGGGAACUGCCUUUGUGACUGCAAGGCUGGAGUGCGGCAGAGGGGGAUGGAAUUCCGCGUGUAGCAGGGAAAUGCGUCGAUAUGCGGAGGAACACCGAUGGCGAAGGCAACCCCCUGGGCCUGCACUGACGCUCAUGCACGAAAGCGUGGGGAGCAAACA
RNAcentral lists this ribosomal RNA (427 nucleotides) under uncultured bacterium. Its description in RNAcentral is "bacterial SSU rRNA". It matches the Rfam family "Bacterial small subunit ribosomal RNA", at positions 355 to 774 of the family's 1533-position model. The record is from RNAcentral.